AGAGUUUGAUCCUGGCUCAGAACGAACGCUGGCGGCGUGCUUAACACAUGCAAGUCGAACGAGAGGAACGUAGCAAUACGUUUAGUAAAGUGGCGCACGGGUCCGUAACACGUGGGUAAUCUACCUUCGGGCGAGGGACAACCUGUUGAAAGACGGGCUAAUACCUCAUAAGACCACGGAAUCUUUGGAUUCUGGGGCCAAAGGUGGCCUCUAUUUAUAAGCUAUCACCGGAAGAUGAGCCCGCGCACCAUCAGCUAGUUGGCGAGGUAACGGCUCACCAAGGCUAAGACGGUUAGCUGGUCUGAGAGGACGACCAGCGACACUGGAACUGAGACACGGUCCAGACUCCUACGGGAGGCAGCAGUGGGGAAUUUUGGACAAUGGGCGAAAGCCUGAUCCAGCAACGCCGCGUGAGUGACGAAGGCCUUCGGGUUGUAAAGCUCUGUCGGAGGGAACGAAUAAGGGACACCUAACACGUGUCCCGAUGACGUACUCUCAAAGAGACCCCGU
RNAcentral lists this ribosomal RNA (510 nucleotides) under uncultured soil bacterium. Its description in RNAcentral is "bacterial SSU rRNA". It matches the Rfam family "Bacterial small subunit ribosomal RNA", at positions 8 to 496 of the family's 1533-position model. The record is from RNAcentral.